AUUGGAGUCAGGUUCCAUCCUUUCCCAGAGCUCAUUUAAGGGUUGGCAGUGGAUUUGAGGCUGUUUCAUCUAAGAGUCUUAUAGGACUUUUGAAGACUCUCUUGGAGCACCAAGAGGAAUGGCCACCGUGGUGUCAGAAUUGUCCUGCUGGAAAGGACUUCUGGUGACCGUGUAGUCCAGGUUCCCUGCAGUAUGUUGCACAGGAAAGUGUCCAGGAUGAAGAUUUAUGGUCCAAAUAUUCUCUCUGGAUAUAAAAGCAACCCUGCAAUUGGACAACCCUUAUAGUUCUUACUGUACACUUUUGACGUUUCCUUUUCAAAAUGUAGGAUCCAGUGCCCAGUAUUGAGGUGUUGUUAUCUCAUGGGCAUGUAUACUGGAAACGUUGGAUGGUUUCUGUUUCUGUAUCUGUUCAUCAUAGCAUGUGCUUAACAUUCUCUUUGCAUCUGAACUGACGGUUUGACAGAUCUGUCAAACGGAUGAACGUUUCAUCUUACAUAUAAAUAGAUAAAUUAAAGCUCACCAGUAUUUAUAAACUUAAAACUACUUUUAUUAUAAUAUUAAUUUAUUUGCAUUUAUAUGUUCAAGAAUAUUAAUUUGCUUUUAUCAAUUUUAAUUUCAUUGGCAAUUGGUCUCACUUUUACUCUUAACACUAAAAUAUCUUUUGUGUUCAGAAUCUUAAGCAGAGUUUUGAAGGCUCAUCUGUAGAUUUACUGGUGACUGCCUUUCCCUCACACAGUUCAGGUCUCAUAUCCUACUACUGUAUGCCUAUAAGUAAACCCAAUCAUAACUCAUCACCUUCUCCUACCUUUCAUCUUAUUACAACAGUUGUUCGGAAUAGCCAGUGUAAUUGUCCUUAUCAUUAAGUCUUUGAAAUUUUAGGAGAUUUUUUAAAGAACAUGUUAUGUUAAACAUUGCCAAACAGUUUGAGAAACUACGUAGAUGUAGAUGCAUCAACCAUAUCAUGCUAUUUUAUUCAAGAUACAUCAUAAACAGCAAUUCACAUAGUCUAGAAACUCACAGAUCCAUCCUAUUUUUUUAUUUUAUGUAUAAAUAUAUACACAAUAUAUAUGUAUGACUUGACUUAGCUAUUUUCAUAUGGUAGAAUUCAAUCUGAAAUAAAACGUGAUCAAAAUGUUCAUCAUAUGAAUCUUAUUGCAAUAGAGCCAAUGUGUCAAGAAAUACUCCCUCAUAUUUAUAAUUUAAUAAAAACUUGUUCUACUUUUUCUCAUGUCUAUCUGAAUAUAAGGUCUGCAACAUGAAAUACCUUACCUGGGAAAGGUGAAUUUAAUUUUUAGAUUAAUACAGUUUAAUAUCCAGAAAUGAAAAUGAGAAAAAAUAGCAUAAAAUCAGGUUACAGGGAACAAUGUUUGAGAGCUGAA
Long non-coding RNA from Lagopus muta (rock ptarmigan), 1379 nucleotides. RefSeq lists it as uncharacterized. The record is from RefSeq and is a predicted model, not a curated record. Lineage: Eukaryota; Metazoa; Chordata; Aves; Galliformes; Phasianidae. The transcript has 3 exons.